Molecule: ribosomal RNA, 271 nt
Filed under: Escherichia coli
Lineage: Bacteria; Pseudomonadati; Pseudomonadota; Gammaproteobacteria; Enterobacterales; Enterobacteriaceae
Description: partial 23S ribosomal RNA
Rfam family: Bacterial large subunit ribosomal RNA
Source: RNAcentral
CGAAUGCUGACAUAAGUAACGAUAAAGCGGGUGAAAAGCCCGCUCGCCGGAAGACCAAGGGUUCCUGUCCAACGUUAAUCGGGGCAGGGUGAGUCGACCCCUAAGGCGAGGCCGAAAGGCGUAGUCGAUGGGAAACAGGUUAAUAUUCCUGUACUUGGUGUUACUGCGAAGGGGGGACGGAGAAGGCUAUGUUGGCCGGGCGACGGUUGUCCCGGUUUAAGCGUGUAGGCUGGUUUUCCAGGCAAAUCCGGAAAAUCAAGGCUGAGGCGUG